GACGAACGCUGGCGGCGUGCCUAAUACAUGCAAGUCGAACGAACUCUGGUAUUGAUUGGUGCUUGCAUCAUGAUUUACAUUUGAGUGAGUGGCGAACUGGUGAGUAACACGUGGGAAACCUGCCCAGAAGCGGGGGAUAACACCUGGAAACAGAUGCUAAUACCGCAUAACAACUUGGACCGCAUGGUCCGAGUUUGAAAGAUGGCUUCGGCUAUCACUUUUGGAUGGUCCCGCGGCGUAUUAGCUAGAUGGUGGGGUAACGGCUCACCAUGGCAAUGAUACGUAGCCGACCUGAGAGGGUAAUCGGCCACAUCGGGACUGAGACACGGCCCAAACUCCUACGGGAGGCAGCAGUAGGGAAUCUUCCACAAUGGACGAAAGUCUGAUGGAGCAACGCCGCGUGAGUGAAGAAGGGUUUCGGCUCGUAAAACUCUGUUGUUAAAGAAGAACAUAUCUGAGAGUAACUGUUCAGGUAUUGACGGUAUUUAACCAGAAAGCCACGGCUAACUGCGUGCCAGCAGCCGCGGUAAUACGUAGGUGGCAAGCGUUGUCCGGAUUUAUUGGGCGUAAAGCGAGCGCAGGCGGUUUUUUAAGUCUGAUGUGAAAGCCUUCGGCUCAACCGAAGAAGUGCAUCGGAAACUGGGAAACUUGAGUGCAGAAGAGGACAGUGGAACUCCAUGUGUAGCGGUGAAAUGCGUAGAUAUAUGGAAGAACACCAGUGGCGAAGGCGGCUGUCUGGUCUGUAACUGACGCUGAGGCUCGAAAGUAUGGGUAGCAAACAGGAUUAGAUACCCUGGUAGUCCAUACCGUAAACGAUGAAUGCUAAGUGUUGGAGGGUUUCCGCCCUUCAGUGCUGCAGCUAACGCAUUAAGCAUUCCGCCUGGGGAGUACGGCCGCAAGGCUGAAACUCAAAGGAAUUGACGGGGGCCCGCACAAGCGGUGGAGCAUGUGGUUUAAUUCGAAGCUACGCGAAGAACCUUACCAGGUCUUGACAUACUAUGCAAAUCUAAGAGAUUAGACGUUCCCUUCGGGGACAUGGAUACAGGUGGUGCAUGGUUGUCGUCAGCUCGUGUCGUGAGAUGUUGGGUUAAGUCCCGCAACGAGCGCAACCCUUAUUAUCAGUUGCCAGCAUUAAGUUGGGCACUCUGGUGAGACUGCCGGUGACAAACCGGAGGAAGGUGGGGAUGACGUCAAAUCAUCAUGCCCCUUAUGACCUGGGCUACACACGUGCUACAAUGGAUGGUACAACGAGUUGCGAACUCGCGAGAGUAAGCUAAUCUCUUAAAGCCAUUCUCAGUUCGGAUUGUAGGCUGCAACUCGCCUACAUGAAGUCGGAAUCGCUAGUAAUCGCGGAUCAGCAUGCCGCGGUGAAUACGUUCCCGGGCCUUGUACACACCGCCCGUCACACCAUGAGAGUUUGUAACACCCAAAGUCGGUGGGGUAACCUUUUAGGAACCAGCCGCCUAAGGUGGGACAGAUGAUUAGGGUG
This 1489-nucleotide ribosomal RNA is filed under the name Lactiplantibacillus plantarum. Its description in RNAcentral is "bacterial SSU rRNA". It matches the Rfam family "Bacterial small subunit ribosomal RNA". The record is from RNAcentral. Lineage: Bacteria; Bacillati; Bacillota; Bacilli; Lactobacillales; Lactobacillaceae.